UAAUCUUGUCACUGCACCCUUGAGAAAAGAGAGAGAUCAAAGCUGUUGUGUCAGGCCAGCAAAAGACAAAGACAAAGACAAAGAGUGGCCUUUCAGCUUAGCUUUGGUUACGUUCCUGGUGGAAGACAUGAACCUCCUUAUAUGUGUUGUGCUGCCAUGGCUGCUCUUUGCUGGAGAGCUUCAUGCAAGUACAAAAUCUUCCUACCAGGCUCAGUCUGAGGAGCUGCACUAUGAGCCCGAACCCCAGCCACUGCUCCAGAUGCCUCGCUCUGGGGGUCCUUACUACCACCCCAAGCCUGUGCCCCAGGCC
Mugil cephalus (flathead mullet) is the source of this 310-nucleotide long non-coding RNA. RefSeq lists it as uncharacterized. The transcript is spliced from 3 exons. The record is from RefSeq and is a predicted model, not a curated record. NCBI's taxonomy places the organism in Eukaryota, Metazoa, Chordata, Actinopteri, Mugiliformes, Mugilidae.